GUGGGUAUAGUUCAGUGGUAGAGCAUGCACAAGGUCCUGGGUUCAAUUCCCAGUACCUCUA
Molecule: transfer RNA, 61 nt
Filed under: Camelus bactrianus (Bactrian camel)
Lineage: Eukaryota; Metazoa; Chordata; Mammalia; Artiodactyla; Camelidae
Also listed under: 1 other name
Rfam family: tRNA
About the family: Transfer RNA (tRNA) molecules are approximately 80 nucleotides in length. Their secondary structure includes four short double-helical elements and three loops (D, anti-codon, and T loops).
Source: Rfam by way of RNAcentral